This 465-nucleotide ribosomal RNA is filed under the name Vreelandella stevensii. RNAcentral's name for it is "partial 16S ribosomal RNA". It matches the Rfam family "Bacterial small subunit ribosomal RNA", at positions 338 to 795 of the family's 1533-position model. Lineage: Bacteria; Pseudomonadati; Pseudomonadota; Gammaproteobacteria; Oceanospirillales; Halomonadaceae. The record is from RNAcentral.
CCUACGGGGGGCAGCAGUGGGGAAUAUUGGACAAUGGGGGCAACCCUGAUCCAGCCAUGCCGCGUGUGUGAAGAAGGCCCUCGGGUUGUAAAGCACUUUCAGUGAGGAAGAACGCCUGGUGGUUAAUACCCAUCAGGAAAGACAUCACUCACAGAAGAAGCACCGGCUAACUCCGUGCCAGCAGCCGCGGUAAUACGGAGGGUGCGAGCGUUAAUCGGAAUUACUGGGCGUAAAGCGCGCGUAGGUGGCUUGAUAAGCCGGUUGUGAAAGCCCCGGGCUCAACCUGGGAACGGCAUCCGGAACUGUCAAGCUAGAGUGCAGGAGAGGAAGGUAGAAUUCCCGGUGUAGCGGUGAAAUGCGUAGAGAUCGGGAGGAAUACCAGUGGCGAAAGCGGCCUUCUGGACUGACACUGACACUGAGGUGCGAAAGCGUGGGUAGCAAACAGGAUUAGAUACCCUUGUAGUC